Molecule: ribosomal RNA, 468 nt
Filed under: uncultured bacterium
Lineage: Bacteria
Description: partial 16S ribosomal RNA
Rfam family: Bacterial small subunit ribosomal RNA
Source: RNAcentral
GACGAACGCUGGCGGCGUGCUUAACACAUGCAAGUCGAACGGAAAGGCCCUGCUUUUGUGGGGUGCUCGAGUGGCGAACGGGUGAGUAACACGUGAGUAACCUGCCCUUGACUUUGGGAUAACUUCAGGAAACUGGGGCUAAUACCGGAUAGGAGCUCCUGCUGCAUGGUGGGGGUUGGAAAGUUUCGGCGGUUGGGGAUGGACUCGCGGCUUAUCAGCUGGUUGGUGGGGUAGUGGCUUACCAAGGCUUUGACGGGUAGCCGGCCUGAGAGGGUGUCCGGCCACAUUGGGACUGAGAUAGGGCCCAGACUCCGACGGGAGGCAGCAGUGGGGAAUAUUGCACAAUGGGCGGAAGCCUGAUGCAGCAACGCCGCGUGCGGGAUGACGGCCUUCGGGUUGUAAACCGCUUUCGCCUGUGACGAAGCGUGAGUGACGGUAAUGGGUAAAGAAGCACCGGCUAACUACGUG